Long non-coding RNA from Lathyrus oleraceus (garden pea), 689 nucleotides. RefSeq lists it as uncharacterized. NCBI's taxonomy places the organism in Eukaryota, Viridiplantae, Streptophyta, Magnoliopsida, Fabales, Fabaceae. The transcript is spliced from 2 exons. The record is from RefSeq and is a predicted model, not a curated record.
GUUGAUCUGGUUCUUGUUCUGUAAUGAUCGCCAUGGGUGAUGGAGUUUGGGAGGGUUUUGAAAGGAGUUUGAUUUAUUCAUUUUGAGGCUUUAAAUUGAAAAAGUGAGAUCGAGGGGACAUCAUCAUUGCAUGGAGUGGAGAAACUUGAAAGCAUAUUCAGAGAAGACGACGGAGACGAAGGUGAUAGCAAAGGUGAAGAUGAAGGUGAAAGCGUAAUCGAAGGUGGAGAAAACGAGGGUGGUCUUGGUUAAUAUUAGUUACAUUGUUUUGAUUUUAGGAUUUAGGGUUUGUAAUGCUUUUUGGUGUAUUUUUCUGGAAGGUUUAAUCUUUUGUGGUAUCUCUCAUUUUAGGGUUUUCGCCCUUAGGUAAGAAUGAAUGAAUGGUUGUGUUUGAUUUUAGGGUUUAGGGUUCAUGAUGUUAUGUGUUGUUUUUGUUUCCCCUUAGCUAAUUUUACGUUUUCCUGGACUUAGGUAGAAAUGGAUGAAUACUUGUGUUUGAAAACUCAUCAUGGUGGUGAAUUUAUAGACAAUGAACAAACUGUGUAUGAAGGAGGAAAAUGAGAAGAAUUAAAAAUUGAUAUGGAUAGGUGGAGUUACUGUGAGUUGGUAGGUGUACUGAAGGAACUAUGUUAUAUUAAGGUAUAUACCAUUUAAUAUAAUGACCCCACCUUUGGGAUGAAUGUCUUAAA